Jaculus jaculus (lesser Egyptian jerboa) is the source of this 385-nucleotide long non-coding RNA. RefSeq lists it as uncharacterized. Lineage: Eukaryota; Metazoa; Chordata; Mammalia; Rodentia; Dipodidae. The record is from RefSeq and is a predicted model, not a curated record. The transcript is spliced from 3 exons.
GUGAGAUCUCGAAUACUUCGCAGUCCUUCAAAGUAAGAGCACCAAACAAACAACAAAAAUGUUGGUGAGUGGACAAAUUAAAUAUGUAUAUGUUUAAAGGUUCGACAUUCUUCUGAAUAAUCAACUGUUACCCAGAGAAAGACCCAAGAACUUCUACUGGUACACACAAACCUGAGCCUGGGACCCCUAACCACAAGAAGCAUGACAGAUGGCCAAGGCCACCUGCUCCCUUGCUGCCAAUCGUGACGCCCAGAGCCUGGUCAGAGGCUGGUGCCAGGCAGCUGGGGGUGUGGGAGGAAAACACUUCCCAAGGGUGAACAUGGGAUUAAGAUGGCAGUGACCUUGGGAUGACUCAGAAGGCAUCAUGGUGCUGGGAAGAAGUGAC